Molecule: long non-coding RNA, 1941 nt
Organism: Astatotilapia calliptera (eastern happy)
Lineage: Eukaryota; Metazoa; Chordata; Actinopteri; Cichliformes; Cichlidae
Source: Ensembl
GCCCAUAGCUUUCCAGUGAAUGAAGCCUUAGCUCGACGCUCCACUUAGUCGCUCUUUUCCUUUUUUCCAAAAAUCGACAAGAGUCCUUGGUACAGUUUUUAAAUAUUUACUUACGAAUGUCCAAACAGGUACACAGUAACUGAAGCCAGAGUGAUCAAAACUUCAGUUCAGUUCAAAACGGACGCAUUGAGAUUGAGAGGUCAAAAAUCUGUGUGGCUCCACUCUCCUCUCGCCUAACUUCCUGGCUCUGCCAGACUAUCAAAAUAAAAGUAUACAUUUUAAGCACAAGAAAUCAAACUUGAAACUUAUUCCAUUAUUCGUAAUAUGUCAAUCUGUAAGUAUUACGUCCAAUAUAAUACAACACUAAGCAAGUGAGCCAUAACUUUAUAGUUUGAAUCAUAUAAACUCCACAAACUGCAUCUAGGCUCCUACAAUGCCUUUUGUGCAUACGUUAAAGAGUUAUGUUACUCAGAUUAUUACAGUUUCGAAUGAAAUGUUCUUUGUAAUAUGUCCGUCGUGGUUCCAAGUUUUUUUCUCCUGUUUAUCUAUCCAGUUCUGAGUUAUUAUGAUUGCCUUCUAGUUUACAUUGUUUAGUCUUCUAGUCUUUGUCUCUUAGUGUUUAUGCUUCCUGUUCUAUUUUGAUAGUCUCUUAUCUCAUGUGCAUUAUGUUCAGUUUUGCUUCCCUUGCCUCAUUAGUUGGGUUCAGUUCACUGUGUUUCUCCCCAGGUGUCUCCAUUCUGGCCUCAUUUCCUCUUGAGUAUUUAACCCCUCAGUUUGCUCGUGUUCUUGUUGUGUUCUCCAUCAUAACUGCGUCCUCCUGGUUUCUUUUGUGAGACAUAGACUAGCUAGUGCCCGUUUUUUUUUUUUUUGUUUUUUUUUUUUAAUGCUUCUCGAGAAAUGUAAGCAAUAAAGCUGUUACCAUACCAAAGACAUGCAUGCUUGGUUUAUUGAUGGUUUUAAAUGACCUGUAUGUGAGCAUGAAUGAUUGCUUUCUUUCUAUUCAGGUUGUACGCUGCCCCUCCCCCAACAGUCCAAAGAUUCAAUCAUCUCUUCUCAUUUUGUAAACCCUAUUAACUUCUCACCUUCAACCUCUACUGAAGUGUUUAUGACGUCAUAGUGUCACACUGCAGAUCCUAAUCAGAGCUUCUACUAAUAAAAAGCUUUAAAAACAGUGUUAUCAGCAAACAGGAGAGAUUCAGUCUGGAGUCAUUGUAGAGACGAAAGGCAAACAUGUCAUUUACUCUUGAGCUUGUUGGGAACAGCUGCAUGAACUCCAAAACAAAGAUAAAUUAGAUGAACCAGAUUAAGAAUUUUCCAUGACAAUCUGAGAGCAAGAGGAAAGGUCUGCUCAAGUGUACUACAUGAAAUAAUGAAAUUAGCAUUUUUCUAUCUGAAUCUGAAUUGGAAAACUGGCUGGAGCCCAUCAGUUAUCAUCCCUCUGGCAUCAGCUUUUCAAAAGAGAUUUUUACAGGGUGAUUCCAGUAAAAUGCUACUGUUCCUGGAGGGAUGCAUAAUUUCCUUCCACAAGUGCGCAUAACUGCCACCCUUCAUGACCUGUUCUUUUCUCGGGUUGUUUGAGUAUCUGGUAGAGUCACAAAAGGUCAAAGGUUUUUUUUUUCCUUCUUUUUUUUUACUCUGAGUGAUAAACAAAAAUAUACCAUAUAUUAUAUAUAUAUAUAUAUAUAUAUAUAUUACUACUUAUGCUCUUUGUGUUAAUACUGAGGCAUUAUUUCCAGUAGGUGUAUGAGACCAUGAAAACUUUAAAAACUGAACACCAGCUACAGCAUUGUUCUUCAUUUGCUGCAUUCAUUUCCACAAAAUCCUCCCUCCACCAGACUGUGAGAUAUGGAUCCAAAUAACAAUUUCCAUAAUAAUGAAAAGUGGCAUUGUGUUUUUCAGCUGUUCUCUGAAGUGUAGAACUAAUCCAAAUGUAAUUAAAAG